RNAcentral lists this ribosomal RNA (253 nucleotides) under uncultured bacterium. RNAcentral's name for it is "partial 16S ribosomal RNA". It matches the Rfam family "Bacterial small subunit ribosomal RNA", at positions 524 to 776 of the family's 1533-position model. The record is from RNAcentral.
UACGAAGGGGGCGAGCGUUGUUCGGAUUUACUGGGCGUAAAGGGCGCGUAGGCGGCCCUCUUUGUCGCGUGUGAAAGCCCCGGGCUCAACCUGGGAAUGGCGCGCGAAACGGGGGGGCUUGAGUUCGGGAGAGGAGCGUGGAAUUCCCAGUGUAGAGGUGAAAUUCGUAGAUAUUGGGAAGAACACCGGUGGCGAAGGCGGCGCUCUGGACCGAGACUGACGCUGAGGCGCGAAAGCCAGGGGAGCAAACGGG